CACCAGCCUCCACUCAUCAGACUUACUCACCCAGCAUCUCCAGCAUGGCUGCACUCAGCUGGUUCCACUCCCCUGGCAUGGUGGCACCCUCCUUGGCAACGGCACAGUUUAACAUGUGGUACCACUCAUGUCCCCCAGAGGGCACAGCUUCCUGCCCUCGCCCAACAGCACUGCCAACAAGUCUGUGCUUGUCCCAGAGAUGAAGCCCAUGGUGCCUGAUCUAUGCAUUGAGCAGCUGUGGAGUGACACGGCCUUCUCCCACAGGUGGCAGUGCUCUUCCCUGUAUCAGAGCUGAGGAGCUCCACCAAGCACCACGAGCCCUCCUGUCUGGGUGACUACAUCUUCCAAGUCUGUACUCUACAUCCAUGCCCUCGACGACCCCUUCAGCAGCAGUGUCACCCUGGUGUGUGUGUGUGUGUGUGUGUGUAUUGACAUGUGUGAAAGGGGGAGGGUAUAAUGAGUGUGUGUGGGUCUGGCUUGUUGGGAGGUGAGUACAUGGACCUCAAGGGGUAAAUGUUUCUUGAAUGUACGCUAAUUAAUACUUUUUUAAUGUAUUGUAACAUAGAAAAGAUCCACCUGUGUAUAGAA
RNAcentral lists this long non-coding RNA (588 nucleotides) under Salmo trutta (river trout). Its description in RNAcentral is "lncRNA (ENSSTUG00000010240.1)". The record is from RNAcentral. Lineage: Eukaryota; Metazoa; Chordata; Actinopteri; Salmoniformes; Salmonidae.